Zea mays is the source of this 1515-nucleotide long non-coding RNA. RefSeq lists it as uncharacterized. The transcript has 2 exons. The record is from RefSeq and is a predicted model, not a curated record. NCBI's taxonomy places the organism in Eukaryota, Viridiplantae, Streptophyta, Magnoliopsida, Poales, Poaceae.
UGGGGGUCUGGGUGGGCCCUGGUACACCCUAAGCCAGGCCCAUCGAGGACCCACCCGGCCACCUGUUCAGCCGCCGAGCGUCGAAGCCCGAAGGCCAUUUCAACUUCUCCAGCUCUUCGAUCCUUACGGCUGUUCGCCUGUGCCUGUUCCUGCCUUCCUGGCGCCCUGGCGGCUGGAUACCUGGCGACUGCGAGAAGAGUUCCUGGCGGCUGGCUGGCUUCCUGGCGCUACUGGCCGGAGUAGUGGAGUGGCGAAUGCGCGCUGCCAGCUGCCGUCGCUGCGCGGCUGAAUGCCCAGACCGCCUGCUGCCUGCUACUGCGCUGGAUCUCCCUGGCGUCUGGCGAAUUGCUGCCUACUGCUGGUGAUUGUGACUAAAAUAUGAAGAAACAGGGAGAUAUUGCCUCUCUUUUUCGUAAUCAUGUUGCAAAAAACAGAAGUUUAUUGCUUAUUCAUUAUCUCCGGAUGUUACUCAAGCGUCGACACCUAAAGAACAAGAGAAAGAAAGGAUAAAUAAAGAAAUUGUGAAUCCAAUGUCAUCUGCACCGCCACCGCCAACACUUUAUGAUGUCAGUCGUCUUCCACAUGAUCCAGGUGAAAGACAACCUAUUGCAAGUUACCAUGCUUUAUAAAUCCUAAUGCAGCAAUUGAUAACAAAAUUGAGAAGUGGAGUGAUGAUGAUCACAAUCUUUAUAAGAUAAGGUUGACAUAUUCACUUCGAUGUUUGAAGUUUCUUUUGCAUCAAGGAUUGUCAUUCCGUGGAUAUGAUGAAAGUGAAGAGUCUAGCAGCAGAGGAAACUUUAUUAAAAUUUUGAAAUUUCUUGCUGUAAAUAGUGAAGAGGUCAACAAGUAUGUUCUUAACAACGCUCCAAAUAAUUGCACUUUGACUAGCCCAAAGAUACAAAAGCAGAUUAUUCAGUGUUGCGCUAUAGAAACUAGAAAGAAAAUAAUUGAAGAGCUUGGGGAAGAGCCAUUUGCAAUUUUAGCGGAUGAGUUUAGUGACAUGUCACACAAAGAACAACUAGCUCUUUGCUUGCGUUUUGUUGAUGCAUUGGGAAGGCCAUGUGAGCACUUCAUUGGAGUUGUUCAUGUAGAUGAUACUAGCUCUUUAUCACUUAAGGAUGCAAUUGAAGCUUGUUAAACAAAGAGACAUAAGGUGUUUGAUAUGGUUUAUUUGCUUCUCAAAUUGAUAUUGCUUUUGCCGAUGGCGACAACAAGUGUUGAAAGGGCAUUUUCUACAAUGAGUUUGGUGAAGACUAAAUUGAGAAACAAGAUGUGUGAUAGUCUUUUGGAUGAUUGUCUUGUUACAUACAUCGAGAGGGAUAUUUUCUUCGAAGUGAAUGAAGAAGAUAUAAUUGAAACUUUUAUGGCGUUGAGGAAGCGCAGACCAGAUAAGUAGUAUUAUUGCAAUUUUUAUGUUUAAUGUAUGCAAUUUUCAUGUUUAUUUGUUGAGUGUCAAACUUUAUAUCUAUAUAUCAAAUUGUUUACCAAAUUUACUAUGAAAUUAUAUGUACAUUA